RNAcentral lists this ribosomal RNA (253 nucleotides) under uncultured bacterium. RNAcentral's name for it is "partial 16S ribosomal RNA". It matches the Rfam family "Bacterial small subunit ribosomal RNA", at positions 524 to 776 of the family's 1533-position model. The record is from RNAcentral.
GACGAACCGAGCGAACGUUGUUCGGAAUCACUGGGCUUAAAGGGCGCGUAGGCGGGCUGUCAAGUCUGGGGUGAAAUCCCGCGGCUCAACCGUGGAACUGCCUCAGAUACUGACGGCCUCGAGGGAGAUAGGGGCGAGCGGAACUAAUGGUGGAGCGGCGAAAUGCGUAGAUAUCGGGAGGAACACCAGUGGCGAAGGCGACUACCUGGCCUGUUCUUGACGCUGAGGCGCGAAAGCUAGGGGAGCAAACGGG